Molecule: long non-coding RNA, 734 nt
Filed under: Lathyrus oleraceus (garden pea)
Lineage: Eukaryota; Viridiplantae; Streptophyta; Magnoliopsida; Fabales; Fabaceae
Description: Pisum sativum (pea) long non-coding RNA (PSAT_LNC015793)
Source: RNAcentral
CAUGCAUCAAUCUAAUGUUGUGUGAAAUUUUUGAAAAUGAUAGAGGCAUUGUUUGUGAGAAAAACCACUUGACCAAAAAGCUUAAAUCAACUAACCUUGUGAGGAGUAAUCCUUAGUUAACCCCCUUUGAGCUUAUUUUAGGAUUCAUUUGAUUGAUCAUUGUAAAAUCAAUUGAAAAUUGUGGAAUAAAUGAAUCCUAAUUUCUUUCGUAUCAGUUGAAACCUCAAACCGAGUUGUUUGCAAAAUUUUGCCUUUUGCUUAUGUCUAAGUAGGGAGCAUUUUUGAAUAAAUUUGGUUUUGGAAUCUAAAGUUGGGGAGAGUAAAGUGAAAAGUUGAUUAGAAACUUGGAAAAGUGAGUUUCUAUGAAAGGGUAAGAAUAUGAAAAGAAACAAGAAAAAGAAAUCACCCUUGAAACCAUAGAGCAUAAAAAAAAAAAAUAAGAGAAAAAGAAAAGCAAAGUAAAUGCUCAUGGUUGUGUGGAGUUGAAAAGAAAAAGAAAAAGAAAAAGAUAGGGACCAAGGAAAAGGAAAUUGUGUAGAGUUGAAUCUUUGGGAAUGCUCCCUUAGGAUAGGCAAUUUGGUUGAAUUCCCUUAAUCUUAUCCUUUCUUGUAACCUAAGCCACAUUACAACCUUUGAAAGACCUCUUGAUUCUCAUUUUUCACAUAAUUUGGUACUUGUUGUGAUAACCGCAUGAUUUGAGUUGUUGUUGAUUUAACUGCUUGGAUGAGUGAAAG